AGGACGAACGCUGGCGGCGCGCUUAACACAUGCAAGUCGAGCGAGAACCGGGACUUCGGUCCCGGGGACAGCGGCGAACGGGUGAGUAACACGUGGGUAAUCAACCCUCGGCACCGGGAUAGCCCGAGGAAACUCGGAUUAAUACCGGAUAGCCCCUCCGACUCUCGAGUCGGUCGGGAAAGGUAGCUUAGGCCUCUGGCCGGGGACGAGCCCGCGGCGGAUUAGCUUGUUGGUGGGGUAAUGGCCUACCAAGGCAACGAUCCGUAGCUGGUCUGAGAGGACGAUCAGCCACACUGGGACUGAGACACGGCCCAGACUCCUACGGGAGGCAGCAGUGGGGAAUCUUGCGCAGUGGGCGAAAGCCUGACGCAGCGACGCCGCGUGAGGGAAGAAGGCCUUCGGGUUGUAAACCUCUUUCAGGAGGACGAAGCUACUCGGGUGAAUAGCCCAGAGGGUGACGGUACCUCCGAGAAGAAGCCCCGGCUAACUACGUGCCAGCAGCCGC
This 505-nucleotide ribosomal RNA is filed under the name uncultured bacterium. Its description in RNAcentral is "SSU rRNA". It matches the Rfam family "Bacterial small subunit ribosomal RNA", at positions 26 to 518 of the family's 1533-position model. The record is from RNAcentral.